This 75-nucleotide transfer RNA is filed under the name bacterium. Its description in RNAcentral is "tRNA-Arg". It matches the Rfam family "tRNA". Rfam says of the family: Transfer RNA (tRNA) molecules are approximately 80 nucleotides in length. Their secondary structure includes four short double-helical elements and three loops (D, anti-codon, and T loops). Further hydrogen bonds mediate the characteristic L-shaped molecular structure. tRNAs have two regions of fundamental functional importance: the anti-codon, which is responsible for specific mRNA codon recognition, and the 3' end, to which the tRNAs corresponding amino acid is attached (by aminoacyl-tRNA synthetases). tRNAs cope with the degeneracy of the genetic code in two manners: having more than one tRNA (with a specific anti-codon) for a particular amino acid; and 'wobble' base-pairing, i.e. permitting non-standard base-pairing at the 3rd anti-codon position. The record is from RNAcentral.
GCCCUCGUAGUUCAAUGGAUAGAACAGGUCCGUCCUAAGGACAAAAUGGGGGUCCGAUUCCCUCCGAGGGCACCA